GCCUGGCUAGCUCAGUCAGUGGAGCAUGUGACUCUUGAUCUCAAAGUUGUGAGUUCAAGCCCCAUGUUGGGUG
RNAcentral lists this transfer RNA (73 nucleotides) under Ailuropoda melanoleuca (giant panda). It matches the Rfam family "tRNA". From Rfam's summary of the family: Transfer RNA (tRNA) molecules are approximately 80 nucleotides in length. Their secondary structure includes four short double-helical elements and three loops (D, anti-codon, and T loops). Lineage: Eukaryota; Metazoa; Chordata; Mammalia; Carnivora; Ursidae. The record is from Rfam by way of RNAcentral.